CCAUUUGAUGAUCAAACCUAUUCAUUACCUGAGUUCAUCAUGAUGAACCAACCCAAUUCACCUUGGAGAACUGAUAU
Molecule: small nucleolar RNA, 77 nt
Filed under: Neonectria ditissima
Lineage: Eukaryota; Fungi; Ascomycota; Sordariomycetes; Hypocreales; Nectriaceae
Description: A. fumigatus snoRNA Afu_294
Rfam family: A. fumigatus snoRNA Afu_294
Source: Rfam by way of RNAcentral